CUGAUGCUGAUAGUGACUGAUAAAAUAAACACACGAGUACGUAGACUAAAACCGUUUAACAUAUACACGCGUUUUUUUUGGAAACUUGUCUAGUGCCAUAGUAACAUUUACUGAGUUUAAUUGCAUGUAAUGUAACAUCUACAAUGACAGACGACAGCAGCGUUUGUGUUGCAUUUAGUUGAUUAGGACGUAGCUUUAAGGUUGCACUGUGAUUAGGAAGUAGCUUUAAGGUUGCACUGUGGUGUGUGUGUGUGUGUUUGUGUGUGUUCGUACCCCGGAAGAAGCGUGAACAUGAUCGCCCGACACCUGACGUCCUUUGGGAUCAACCAUGCAGCCCUGGCUUUUGCCAUGACCACGCUGGGUUCAAGCAUGAUCAACAAUAUAUUCAGCUUCUAUUAUGUGAAGCUCUUUCUGAAUAAGUACAAGAUAUCUGAAGGAGCAUUCCACCAAUCACAGGUGGUGUACAUGGUGUGGAAUGCCGUCAACGACCCUCUCUUUGGAUACCUGCAAGAUAACUCCAAGGUUCCCUGCUGUUCCCAGAGACGCCUCUCUAUCCUAUAUGGUGCCCCCCUCUACUCCCUGGCUUUUCUUCUAGCCUGGUUUCCAUGGCGAUCAUACUCUCCUGAUGAUUGGUUGUGUGGCUUACAUUUAACAGUAGCACUGUGUGCUUUUGAUGCCUUAUUGACUUUUGUGCUGCUUGCACAGUGUGCCUUAUUUGCGGAGAUUUCCAGCCAUCAUCAGAGCCGACUGAGGCUGAUAAAGUACAAUCAGGUGGCCUCUCUCAUCGGAUCCUCCAGUGUCCUCUUCUGUGGCAUGGUGUCCCAAAACAUGGAACACUUUCCAGCUUUUCAGACCUUCACCGUGCUAAUUGCCAUUCUGAGCUGCAUCUGCAUGAUCUACACAGGCCUCCACAGUGAAACCCGCUUUGAUAAUAAAGCAUCUGAGGCGGCCCUUCCUGGGUCUAGUGACCAGGCGGUGGAUCAGACGGGGUGCUCCUUCUCCACGUUGAAGACGAUGACGUGGCAGAUCCUCACCAACAGGGACUUCCAGCUGUUUGUGCUGAUGAAUUUCUUCCAGGUUUUCAUGCUGGCCUUCUUUAAUAACUUCACCAUGAUAUUCACGGAGCACCUGAUUCCUCCAGACGUACUUCCAUCACUGGCCAAGAGCAUCAUGUAUGGAGCAGGAUUCAUCUUACCACAGCUCCUCGUGCUGAGCAGCCAGAGGCUGCUGCAGGAUUUCGGCUACUACAAAAUCAUCCUCUUCACCUUCUACCUAGAAGCUGGAAUGGCAGUAGUCAUGCUGCUUCUUGGUGCUCAGCACUACUACUUCUUGGCUUUUUUUCUCACUAUUAGCACGGUUAUAAUACAAGCAGCCUUCAGCCUCUUUGGUUUGCCACUGGCUGAUAUAAUUGACAUAGAUUUGCAGAAAUACAAACGCAGUUCUCCUCUCUCCUCCAUGGUGUUUGGAACAAAUGCUCUGUUCACCAAGCCGGCUCAGUCCCUGGCUCCGAUGAUCGUUCUCACCAUCCUGAAUCAGUUUGGAUACGAACAGCUGAAAGAAGCUGGACAGAAAUCAAGCCCAAGACAGUCUCACCAUCAAUAAUUGAAGGUGCAUGCUCAGGACCGUUUUGCUGCCAUGUGCUGUCCAUGAGAGCAGGGGGGUGUACAUUCGUGGACGGUUUCACUGCCAUGAGAGCGGCUCUUUGGAAAGCCUCCAUGGUGUCAUGUUCUACCUGGUCUGCCUGUUUCCCAUGUGCAUUGCUGCUGUACAAGUCCUGGCCUGGAGGCCGUUCUCCAUCCGCAAUAGUCACACAGUCGACACUAAAUACAUCGACAGCUAGCGUCUGCUCUCUGAUCAAUAAAUUAGAAUGUUUUCCAGUUUAGACUUUAUUAAAGAUUUUCAGAACCAAUUUCCGCUCUUUAGCUGUAAAUCAACUUGGUGCGACAGCUGAUUGGUGACAUCAGGUAGAUAAAAAUGAAACGGGGUACCUCUAUUUUCUACACAAAGAAGAGAGUGGAUCCCAGGUGAUGGUUAGUCUCCUCCUAAUGCCCAGAAAGUUGAUCUGGGUUAUUUACUACAGAGACUGUAGCUUUUCCUUAAUUCUAGGGUUGCUGUUGUGUUUGAGUUACCUGGUGUUAAUCAGAAUGGUACUGUAACCUGAAACAGGGCUAGUGCAUCAGGAAGUACUCCGCAGAGUAACUGAACUUGUUUCAAUGUUGAAGUGUAAAACCUGCUGUGGAUAUUAUUAAGAGUUUUACUUAAGUUUACAGUUCAGCAGUCCUUUAAAUCAAAGUUGAUCUAAUUCAGUGUAAAGCAACAUAUUUUCUGAUUAAAAAUGUUGGCAUCUUUU
This is an RNA transcript of Nothobranchius furzeri (turquoise killifish), 2350 nucleotides long. It is a transcript of the gene named major facilitator superfamily domain containing 13a-like, with no coding region annotated. The record is from RefSeq and is a predicted model, not a curated record. NCBI's taxonomy places the organism in Eukaryota, Metazoa, Chordata, Actinopteri, Cyprinodontiformes, Nothobranchiidae.